ACAUUGGUGGUUUAGUGGUACAAUUCUCACCUGCCAUGCUAGAGGUUGGGGUUUGAAUCCCAACCAAUGCA
RNAcentral lists this transfer RNA (71 nucleotides) under Lepisosteus oculatus (spotted gar). It matches the Rfam family "tRNA". From Rfam's summary of the family: Transfer RNA (tRNA) molecules are approximately 80 nucleotides in length. Lineage: Eukaryota; Metazoa; Chordata; Actinopteri; Semionotiformes; Lepisosteidae. The record is from Rfam by way of RNAcentral.